UUAAGUUAUUAAGGGCGCACGGUGGAUGCCUUGGCACUAGAAGCCGAUGAAGGACGUUACUAACGACGAUAUGCUUUGGGGAGCUGUAAGUAAGCUUUGAUCCAGAGAUUUCCGAAUGGGGAAACCCAGCAUGAGUUAUGUCAUGUUAUCGAUAUGUGAAUACAUAGCAUAUCAGAAGGCACACCCGGAGAACUGAAACAUCUUAGUACCCGGAGGAAGAGAAAGAAAAUUCGAUUCCCUUAGUAGCGGCGAGCGAAACGGGAAGAGCCCAAACCAACAAGCUUGCUUGUUGGGGUUGUAGGACACUCUAUACGGAGUUACAAAGGACGACAUUAGACGAAUCAUCUGGAAAGAUGAAUCAAAGAAGGUAAUAAUCCUGUAGUCGAAAAUGUUGUCUCUCUUGAGUGGAUCCUGAGUACGACGGAGCACGUGAAAUUCCGUCGGAAUCUGGGAGGACCAUCUCCUAAGGCUAAAUACUCUCUAGUGACCGAUAGUGAACCAGUACCGUGAGGGAAAGGUGAAAAGGACCCCGGAAGGGGAGUGAAAUAGAACCUGAAACCGUGUGCUUACAAGUAGUCAGAGCCCGUUAAUGGGUGAUGGCGUGCCUUUUGUAGAAUGAACCGGCGAGUUACGAUUUGAUGCAAGGUUAAGCAGUAAAUGUGGAGCCGUAGCGAAAGCGAGUCUGAAUAGGGCGUUUAGUAUUUGGUCGUAGACCCGAAACCAGGUGAUCUACCCUUGGUCAGGUUGAAGUUCAGGUAACACUGAAUGGAGGACCGAACCGACUUACGUUGAAAAGUGAGCGGAUGAACUGAGGGUAGCGGAGAAAUUCCAAUCGAACCUGGAGAUAGCUGGUUCUCUCCGAAAUAGCUUUAGGGCUAGCCUCAAGUGAUGAUUAUUGGAGGUAGAGCACUGUUUGGACGAGGGGCCCCUCUCGGGUUACCGAAUUCAGACAAACUCCGAAUGCCAAUUAAUUUAACUUGGGAGUCAGAACAUGGGUGAUAAGGUCCGUGUUCGAAAGGGAAACAGCCCAGACCACCAGCUAAGGUCCCAAAAUAUAUGUUAAGUGGAAAAGGAUGUGGCGUUGCCCAGACAACUAGGAUGUUGGCUUAGAAGCAGCCAUCAUUUAAAGAGUGCGUAAUAGCUCACUAGUCGAGUGACACUGCGCCGAAAAUGUACCGGGGCUAAACAUAUUACCGAAGCUGUGGAUUGUCCUUUGGACAAUGGUAGGAGAGCGUUCUAAGGGCGUUGAAGCAUGAUCGUAAGGACAUGUGGAGCGCUUAGAAGUGAGAAUGCCGGUGUGAGUAGCGAAAGACGGGUGAGAAUCCCGUCCACCGAUUGACUAAGGUUUCCAGAGGAAGGCUCGUCCGCUCUGGGUUAGUCGGGUCCUAAGCUGAGGCCGACAGGCGUAGGCGAUGGAUAACAGGUUGAUAUUCCUGUACCACCUAUAAUCGUUUUAAUCGAUGGGGGGACGCAGUAGGAUAGGCGAAGCGUGCGAUUGGAUUGCACGUCUAAGCAGUAAGGCUGAGUAUUAGGCAAAUCCGGUACUCGUUAAGGCUGAGCUGUGAUGGGGAGAAGACAUUGUGUCUUCGAGUCGUUGAUUUCACACUGCCGAGAAAAGCCUCUAGAUAGAAAAUAGGUGCCCGUACCGCAAACCGACACAGGUAGUCAAGAUGAGAAUUCUAAGGUGAGCGAGCGAACUCUCGUUAAGGAACUCGGCAAAAUGACCCCGUAACUUCGGGAGAAGGGGUGCUCUUUAGGGUUAACGCCCAGAAGAGCCGCAGUGAAUAGGCCCAAGCGACUGUUUAUCAAAAACACAGGUCUCUGCUAAACCGUAAGGUGAUGUAUAGGGGCUGACGCCUGCCCGGUGCUGGAAGGUUAAGAGGAGUGGUUAGCUUCUGCGAAGCUACGAAUCGAAGCCCCAGUAAACGGCGGCCGUAACUAUAACGGUCCUAAGGUAGCGAAAUUCCUUGUCGGGUAAGUUCCGACCCGCACGAAAGGCGUAACGAUUUGGGCACUGUCUCAACGAGAGACUCGGUGAAAUCAUAGUACCUGUGAAGAUGCAGGUUACCCGCGACAGGACGGAAAGACCCCGUGGAGCUUUACUGUAGCCUGAUAUUGAAAUUCGGCACAGCUUGUACAGGAUAGGUAGGAGCCUUUGAAACGUGAGCGCUAGCUUACGUGGAGGCGCUGGUGGGAUACUACCCUAGCUGUGUUGGCUUUCUAACCCGCACCACUUAUCGUGGUGGGAGACAGUGUCAGGCGGGCAGUUUGACUGGGGCGGUCGCCUCCUAAAAGGUAACGGAGGCGCUCAAAGGUUCCCUCAGAAUGGUUGGAAAUCAUUCAUAGAGUGUAAAGGCAUAAGGGAGCUUGACUGCGAGACCUACAAGUCGAGCAGGGUCGAAAGACGGACUUAGUGAUCCGGUGGUUCCGCAUGGAAGGGCCAUCGCUCAACGGAUAAAAGCUACCCCGGGGAUAACAGGCUUAUCUCCCCCAAGAGUUCACAUCGACGGGGAGGUUUGGCACCUCGAUGUCGGCUCAUCGCAUCCUGGGGCUGUAGUCGGUCCCAAGGGUUGGGCUGUUCGCCCAUUAAAGCGGUACGCGAGCUGGGUUCAGAACGUCGUGAGACAGUUCGGUCCCUAUCCGUCGUGGGCGUAGGAAAUUUGAGAGGAGCUGUCCUUAGUACGAGAGGACCGGGAUGGACAUACCUCUGGUGUACCAGUUGUCGUGCCAACGGCAUAGCUGGGUAGCUAUGUGUGGACGGGAUAAGUGCUGAAAGCAUCUAAGCAUGAAGCCCCCCUCAAGAUGAGAUUUCCCAACUUCGGUUAUAAGAUCCCUCAAAGAUGAUGAGGUUAAUAGGUUCGAGGUGGAAGCAUGGUGACAUGUGGAGCUGACGAAUACUAAUCGAUCGAAGACUUAAUCAA
RNAcentral lists this ribosomal RNA (2921 nucleotides) under Staphylococcus aureus T66286. Its description in RNAcentral is "bacterial LSU rRNA". It matches the Rfam family "Bacterial large subunit ribosomal RNA". RNAcentral also lists the same sequence under 2 other names. The record is from RNAcentral. Lineage: Bacteria; Bacillati; Bacillota; Bacilli; Caryophanales; Staphylococcaceae.